UUUCGCAAUGCCCGAAAGGGUGACGAAGCGACGCCGCGUGUGGGAAGAAGGCCUUCGGGUUGUAAACCACUGUCGGGAGUUAAGAAAUGUAAGGGUGUUAAUAGUAUCCUUACUUGACUAAGGCUCCGGAGGAAGCCACGGCUAACUCUGUGCCAGCAGCCGCGGUAAUACAGAGGCGGCAAGCGUUGUUCGGAAUUAUUGGGCGUAAAGAGCACGUAGGCGGCUAUGUAAGUCGGUUGUGAAAGCCUUCCGCUCAACGGAAGAAUAGCAGUCGAUACUGCAUGGCUUGAGUGCGGGAGGGGAGAGCGGAACUUCUGGUGGAGCGGUGAAAUGCGUAGAUAUCAGAAGGAACGCCGGCGGCGAAAGCGACUCUCUGGCCCGUAACUGACGCUGAGUGUGCGAAAGCUAGGGGAGCAAACGGGAUUAGAUACCCCGGUAGUCCUAGCCGUAAACGAUGGGCACUAAGUAGAGGGGUUUU
This 478-nucleotide ribosomal RNA is filed under the name uncultured Planctomycetales bacterium. RNAcentral describes it as "bacterial SSU rRNA". It matches the Rfam family "Bacterial small subunit ribosomal RNA", at positions 364 to 832 of the family's 1533-position model. Lineage: Bacteria; Pseudomonadati; Planctomycetota; Planctomycetia; Planctomycetales. The record is from RNAcentral.